Molecule: ribosomal RNA, 277 nt
Filed under: uncultured bacterium
Lineage: Bacteria
Description: partial 16S ribosomal RNA
Rfam family: Bacterial small subunit ribosomal RNA
Source: RNAcentral
GACGAACGCUUGCGACGUGCCUAAGAAAUGCAAGUCGAACGGAUCAGCAGCAAUGCUGGUUAGUGGCGAACGGUCGCGUAACACGUGGGCAACCUGCCCUGAAGCGGGGGACAACAGCUUGAAAGAGCUGCUAAUACCGCAUGUGAAUCGUGGUGGCAUCACCGAGGAUUCAAAGCCGCAAGGCACUUCAGGAUGGGCCCGCGGCCUAUCAGCUAGUUGGUGAGGUAACGGCCCACCAAGGCUUCGACGGGUAGCUGGUCUGAGAGGACGAUCAGCC